This is a small nucleolar RNA of Jaculus jaculus (lesser Egyptian jerboa), 136 nucleotides long. Lineage: Eukaryota; Metazoa; Chordata; Mammalia; Rodentia; Dipodidae. The record is from Ensembl.
GCAUAGGUUUGAAUUUAGGGCAGGUCAGUCUCCCUGGGCCUCUCAUAGUGUUCUAUUCCAGAGAAAAUUGCAUCCCUGAAUCACACUACCUGUCCUCUCCCGGUAGGCUGCUGGCACUGAAGGAGAUUGUACAGAA